RNAcentral lists this long non-coding RNA (1424 nucleotides) under Mastacembelus armatus (zig-zag eel). RNAcentral describes it as "lncRNA (ENSMAMG00000028393.1)". The record is from RNAcentral. Lineage: Eukaryota; Metazoa; Chordata; Actinopteri; Synbranchiformes; Mastacembelidae.
UUUGAAUCUAAGGGCGUCUCCGUAACCCUGAAAGGCUCCUUUUAGAGGAAUGUUUAAGAAGAUCAAUAAUGUUUUUCGCCCCAACCAUCAUGGACACAGACAACGGGAUGGUGGUGGGUUCAAGUCCAAGGACUACCACAACGCCUGCACCAUCCGGCUGGUGCGCAGCACCUCCAUGCUCGUGGUGGGAGAGAAAGCUCAAACAGCCAUGGGCUCAACUUUAAAACGAAGCAAAAGCACAGUGAGCAUUGAGUCGACCUUGUACUAUUAUCAGAGGCAGGAGGACAGGAUAUGGCUGUACUCUCAGAAUCAGAACUGCCUGGAGUACCUGGAAGCACUUGUGGCUUUGAGACGGCAGUAUACAAAGAAUGUGAGUGACUUAAAAAGUAAGGACACCAAGGCCACAGUUUCCUCCAAGAAAAAGCCUGCACCUCCGGCGCCCAAUAAGGAAGAAACGAUAUCAAGAACCAAAUCAUCUGUGCCUCCAGUCUCCAGUGAGGAGGACACUUUACAGUUCUUUGAUGCAGUCAUUGCCAGCUGUGACACCGAAACUCUACGCAAACCUUAUACGGACGAUGGGCACGCUGACGUAGAUUUCAUAGUGGCCUCCAGCUCAGCUGAACACGACCUCCACUCUAAUUGGGUCUUGCGAGUUCCGCAGGUCAUGGAUGACUCCAAGCAGAAAGUGGUUCACGACUGUGCCAAUAAAAGUGUCCCAAAAAAGAAAAACCUGAGUGGGUCCACAAGCAGUAGACUGCGACUUCAGAGGAACCCGAUCCACCUGCCCAAAGUGGUGGAGAGUGCAUUCCAGACUUUGCGCUUCAAGCCCAAAUUAAAAUAGCAGUAAAGCUUAACAGACAUUUAAAGCCAUCAGCACUGCCACCCUUACAGCAUCAUCGGAAAUAAGAUUACUUUAACCAUUGUGUUAAUAGCACUUCUUUCAAAUGUGCUUUUGAACUAAAUAAGAGGAAUGUGCAGUGUUGUCAUGGGUGUGGGAUUUAGGCUGAGUGCAGUUUACGGUUAAGACCUGCAGAGACCAGAUUCCUCCCAGGUAUGAAAGCCAACUUCGAAAUGCAACAGUGACAGCUUCACAGUAAUAUCACUGUCAGAAUAGUAAACAUAAUUUAGAGUGGUGCAUGAAUGUGUUUGAUUUAAAAGUGUUGUUCCGAUUUGCAAGGGCUCAGCUGACUGAAUAGUUCAAACCCAUCUUGGGUUAUUCUGCUCCUUGCUGCUGAUGUUAAAAUAGUUCAGAGGAAUAAAACUUAUUUCCGUAAGACAGAACUUGGAUUCCAGCGGUGCUGAUAUUUCUUGUAGUUUUAUUUGCCCACGUUUUCAGAUACCUUUCACUGAAAUGUCUGAUAAAAUAGCGCUGACUACCUUUUUAGGUGCCUAUGGCCUUGAAACAUAUAAAUGAUCCCCGCCUG